GGAGCUCUCCNNUAUGGUCGACCUGCAGGCGGCCGCGAAUUCACUAGUGAUUAGAGUUUGAUCCUGGCUCAGGAUGAACGCUAGCUACAGGCUUAACACAUGCAAGUCGAGGGGCAGCAUGAACUUAGCUUGCUAAGUUUGAUGGCGACCGGCGCACGGGUGAGUAACACGUAUCCAACCUGCCGAUGACUCGGGGAUAGCCUUUCGAAAGAAAGAUUAAUACCCGAUGGCAUAGUUCUUCCGCAUGGUGGAACUAUUAAAGAAUUUCGGUCAUCGAUGGGGAUGCGUUCCAUUAGGUUGUUGGCGGGGUAACGGCCCACCAAGCCUUCGAUGGAUAGGGGUUCUGAGAGGAAGGUCCCCCACAUUGGUACUGAGACACGGACCAAACUCCUACGGGAGGCAGCAGUGAGGAAUAUUGGUCAAUGGGCGUAAGCCUGAACCAGCCAAGUCGCGUGAGGGAUGAAGGUUCUAUGGAUCGUAAACCUCUUUUAUAAGGGAAUAAAGUGUGGGACGUGUCCUAUUUUGUAUGUACCUUAUGAAUAAGGAUCGGCUAACUACGUGCCAGCAGCCGCGGUAAUACGUAGGGGGCAAGCGUUAUCCGGAUUUACUGGGUGUAAAGGGAGCGUANACGGCGAAGCAAGUCUGGAGUGAAAACCCUGGGCUCAACCCUGGGACUGCUUUGGAAACUGUUUUGCUANAGUGUCGGAGAGGUAAGUGGAAUUCCUAGUGUANCGGUGAAAUGCGUANAUNUUANGAGGAACACCAGUGGCGAAGGCGGCUUACUGGACGAUAACUGGACNUUGAGGCUCGAAAA
Molecule: ribosomal RNA, 814 nt
Filed under: uncultured bacterium
Lineage: Bacteria
Description: bacterial SSU rRNA
Rfam family: Bacterial small subunit ribosomal RNA
Source: RNAcentral